This is a non-coding RNA of Cinara cedri, 213 nucleotides long. Lineage: Eukaryota; Metazoa; Arthropoda; Insecta; Hemiptera; Aphididae. The record is from the annotation of a GenBank genome assembly.
UUCCAUCUCGAAUAUCUAUACUGAUGUAAAAUAAUCGGUAUCAAGUGUUAGUAAACCAGUACCAAAAUAUAUCGGUACACGGGUCUGUACCAACGAAUUUCUAGAAUAUGAACAGCCUUAUCAGUUACUACUUGCGGGAGACCCACGAAUCGUAGUUAAUUAAAUUGGCGCGAACAACCAGCUACCAGCAGCUAUAAGGCGCGUUUAUACCGA